ACUACAAUUUGACAAAAUUAUCGUUCUUUGUUAACAUAAUAUCCCUUACAUUUAUGUAUUGUUUUAAAAGUAGUAUAUUUUAGGAAUAAACCACUUCAAUAAUUAAUUUCAUUUAUUUUAUUGUUUUCUUUCAGGUGACAAAAAAUAGAAGUAAUACCAAAACCUAGCAAGACACAAAAUAUGGUGAAAUAAAAAGUUUCAUAAGCUUUUCUAGUUGUUUAUAUUAUUAUUUAUACAUGUCAGAUGGACAGACAGACUACGCAAAACUAAUAGCAGUUCGUCCGUUUACUCGGGCCGCUAAAAAUAGAAAAAUUGUUUCUAUAUUGUACAUGUACGCAAGUCGCAAUUAAUUGUUGAUUUCUUAAUUAGUUAGAUCUUAUCAUUAAACACAUGGACGGCCUCGACCUCUUUUUGCUUAUCUUUUUGGUCGACAUAUUGUGAGUUUUUUUUUAGUGUGGAUGGUCUGACUGUCUAGUAGCUGGAGUCUUCAAAAUGAGUUUCUUAACUUUUGCAUUGAUUUUAUUACUGUUGUGUUCUAUAAAGGGAGGUUGGUGUUUCAUGCCAUGCAGUAUGUGUCCUAAAGAUGACGAUUUUUGCCCAACUUAUUGUGUGGAUGACUUUGAAUGGCAGUCCAUUAUUGGUCGAGCAGUUUGAUGUCAGACUAUGUAGACUGAACAGACAAUAUAGACAUCCAUAAAUGUACAUAGUCUUUCGUUUUUUUCAAUGUCAACAAAUGAAAUAAAAAAAAUUUUUAAAU
Molecule: long non-coding RNA, 757 nt
Organism: Biomphalaria glabrata
Lineage: Eukaryota; Metazoa; Mollusca; Gastropoda; Planorbidae
Exons: 2
Source: RefSeq, a predicted model, not a curated record